RNAcentral lists this ribosomal RNA (671 nucleotides) under uncultured Methanoculleus sp. RNAcentral's name for it is "bacterial SSU rRNA". It matches the Rfam family "Archaeal small subunit ribosomal RNA", at positions 200 to 876 of the family's 1478-position model. The record is from RNAcentral. Lineage: Archaea; Methanobacteriati; Methanobacteriota; Methanomicrobia; Methanomicrobiales; Methanomicrobiaceae.
CGCCUUAGGAUGGAUCUGCGGCCGAUUAGGUCGUUGUUGGGGUAACGGCCCAACAAGCCGAUAAUCGGUACGGGUGUGGGAGCAAGAGCCCGGAGUUGGAUUCUGAGACACGAAUCCAGGCCCUACGGGGCGCAGCAGGCGCGAAAACUUUACAAUGCGGGCAACCGUGAUAAGGGAACCUCGAGUGCCUGUACAUGCAGGCUGUCUGGGUGUCUAAAACACACCCAAAGAAAGGGCCGGGCAAGACCGGUGCCAGCCGCCGCGGUAAUACCGGCGGCUCGAGUGGUGGCCACUUUUAUUGGGCUUAAAGCGUUCGUAGCUGGGUCGUUAAGUCUCUUGGGAAAUCUGGCAGCUUAACUGUCAGGCGUCUAAGAGAUACUGGCAAUCUAGGAACCGGGAGAGGUGAGGGGUACUUCGGGGGUAGGAGUGAAAUCCUGUAAUCCUCGAGGGACCACCUGUGGCGAAGGCGCCUCACCAGAACGGCUUCGACAGUGAGGGACGAAAGCUGGGGGAGCAAACCGGAUUAGAUACCCGGGUAGUCCCAGCCGUAAACGAUGCGCGUUAGGUAUGUCGAUGACCACGAGUCAUCGAGGUGCCGAAGGGAAACCGUGAAACGCGCCGCCUGGGAAGUACGGUCGCAAGGCUGAAACUUAAAGGAAUUGGCGGGGGAG